This 321-nucleotide ribosomal RNA is filed under the name uncultured Pseudomonadota bacterium. RNAcentral's name for it is "bacterial SSU rRNA". It matches the Rfam family "Bacterial small subunit ribosomal RNA", at positions 30 to 351 of the family's 1533-position model. Lineage: Bacteria; Pseudomonadati; Pseudomonadota. The record is from RNAcentral.
AUUGAACGCUGGCGGCAGGCCUAACACAUGCAAGUCGAGCGGAUGAGUGGAGCUUGCUCCAUGAUUCAGCGGCGGACGGGUGAGUAAUGCCUAGGAAUCUGCCUGGUAGUGGGGGACAACGUUUCGAAAGGAACGCUAAUACCGCAUACGUCCUACGGGAGAAAGUGGGGGAUCUUCGGACCUCACGCUAUCAGAUGAGCCUAGGUCGGAUUAGCUAGUUGGCGAGGUAAAGGCUCACCAAGGCGACGAUCCGUAACUGGUCUGAGAGGAUGAUCAGUCACACUGGAACUGAGACACGGUCCAGACUCCUACGGGAGGCAG